Molecule: RNA transcript, 765 nt
Organism: Hemibagrus wyckioides
Lineage: Eukaryota; Metazoa; Chordata; Actinopteri; Siluriformes; Bagridae
Exons: 5
Source: RefSeq, a predicted model, not a curated record
CUCCAUUAGAGCUGGGAGUAUAAAACGCAGAAAGAAAACUGCCAAGCUGACAGUCUUCCAUAGUCAUUCUUUCUCAAAACACUCUCGUCUUGCAAUGAACACAGUAUCGUUUUUUUUCCUGUUAUAUAUACAGGGCUACCUGCUAACACAUGCUUUAGACUGUGCAGAUGGGGGCAUGGAUUGUGACAGUGGGCAGGUUGAAAGGAUAAAGACAAGGUACACAAACGCAGACCAUGAGAGAGGAGCUCAACGUAGCCAAGCCAACCUACCAGGGGCCUUUAAAGCCAAGGGCUUCCCCAACACUCUAAUUCAGGCGGACAGAUCAAGGCGUCAUCUGAAUAGCAAUAAGAAGAAACCAUUGCCUCUUAAAUCACGAGUGGGCAGUUACUCACUGCUGAGUCACAACCCUAUGAGUCCUCUGCCAGUACGUAUCCAUGCCAAUGACCUGAGUUAUGAUCAUGAACUUUUCCCUUUACCGUGACCAUUAAUUAAUCAGGUAAUGAGAGCUCGAAGGCAUGCUGCUGAUCCAGUCAUGCCUUCUAGAAUGUGAAGGAGAGGCCUAAGGGAAGAGAAACCAGGAAGAACACAGAAGUUGCAGUCUGCUCAUGGAAUGGGAUGUUUGUAGGGAAAAGUUAAAAACAAUCCAAAGACAAAUACAGGGAUGCAUAUAUUAAGUUCAUCGCCAUUUACUCCAUCUGAUUGUUCACUUAUGUACUGUCAUUUAACAAGCUUAUUGAAGGUUUUUUAUUCAUCAAUGUAUUUAAA